AAAUGACUCUUGGCAACGGAUAUCCCGGCUCUCGCAUCGAUGAAGAACGUAGCGAAAUGCGAUACUUGGUGUGAAUUGCAGAAUCCCGUGAACCAUCGAGUCUUUGAACGCAAGUUGCGCCCGAAGUCAGUAGGCUGAGGGCACGCCUGCCUGGGUGUCAUGC
RNAcentral lists this ribosomal RNA (163 nucleotides) under Tongoloa tenuifolia. Its description in RNAcentral is "5.8S ribosomal RNA". It matches the Rfam family "5.8S ribosomal RNA". Rfam says of the family: 5.8S ribosomal RNA (5.8S rRNA) is a component of the large subunit of the eukaryotic ribosome. Lineage: Eukaryota; Viridiplantae; Streptophyta; Magnoliopsida; Apiales; Apiaceae. The record is from RNAcentral.